Molecule: long non-coding RNA, 1280 nt
Organism: Pogoniulus pusillus (Red-fronted tinkerbird)
Lineage: Eukaryota; Metazoa; Chordata; Aves; Piciformes; Lybiidae
Exons: 2
Source: RefSeq, a predicted model, not a curated record
UUUUCCCGCCUCUCUUUGUCCCAGACGGCCCACACCGGCUGCCCUCUGCCUCUUCUCCCCCUUUCCCACAGCUGUAUCAGUCCCGAAGUUAUAAGACAGCAAUGCAUCUCUUCCAGAACUUCAUCUACAGUUCCUCUCUACUGAAAUGUGUGAUAUUUUUUCUCCAAAUGUGAUGUGGCUUGCACCUCCACUAAUAAGAAAUAAAUACAGGAUGAUAAUUUAAGAGAACAUUCCUGCAAAGGAUCCUUUAUCUGACGGAGAUAUCUUGUUUUCUAGCAAUAUGAAGGCAGAACAAACUGUUAUCAGAUCUUCUGGCUACUAGUGAAUGACAUUUGCAAUCUAACAACAACACAGUGAAGCUAGGACUAGUGACCUUUGUGUUAGCCACUACCAUACAGAGACAACAGCUUCUGUUCCUAGGGGCUCAUGAUACAGGGAAACGGAGUCUCAAAGAAUGCAGAUUUACUGGUCUGUAGCAGCUAAAUAGUAAUGGAGAAAAAGAAACAAAACUGAGCCUCUCCUUUUGGGUUCCCUGGUUGUAGCUGAGAGAGAGAUUCUGAAGUAAAUACAAUCAAUUUCCACUGGCUGGAGAAAAUUCCUCAUUUCACAGAGGUCAGGUUGCAUACUCUUCAUUUCAUAAUGGAUUCCAUGCAUGCUAUCAGAACUUAUUUCCAUUGGAGUUUGUUUCAAAGACACUUAUUUAAGGAAUUUCCUCUUAAUCACUUUCUAAAAGUUGACAUUGAUUUCAAAGUGAAGGAAGAUAAAUCUUGCUAUGAAAAUAAAAGAGUAUUUUCUAAUUUUCCCCUACUUAAGCCAAACAUAAGGACAUGCUCUGCAGUGUAGCUCUGCAGGUACUGAGCCAAAAACCACCUCAUACAACAGCUUGGUCACUGAGUGUACACAGGCACCUAGAACAAACAAUGGAAGGAAAUUCAGCUCUCAGGUGACGGAAAGCUCCGACAUAUGAAAUCCAAGGCAUGCAUUAUUUAUUUCCACAUUAAGCAUGAUACUGAAGAUGGAUGAAUGGUGGUACAGUGCCUCUAUGUCAUGUUUAUAGCCAGGAAAUAAAAACUAUUUAUAAAAUCUAAAUAAGCCAACCUAUUUUUGGUCCAACAUGAGAAAUUUCUGUAUGAAAAACAGUGCAACACAACAUACUUUUGUUGUCCUCUGUUGCUCUCAGAAGAAGCAAAACCAGGAUGAAUAUUGUUGCUCUGUUUGUUAGGAAACAGUACUGCUUGAACUGAAAUAACUCUGAAGAACAUAAAUAAAUAAAUAAAUAA